AACGAACGCUGGCGGCAUGCCUAACACAUGCAAGUCGAACGAGACCUUCGGGUCUAGUGGCGCACGGGUGCGUAACGCGUGGGAACCUGCCCUUAGGUUCGGAAUAACUCCCCGAAAGGGGUGCUAAUACCGGGUAAUGUCUUCGGACCAAAGAUUUAUCGCCUUUGGAUGGGCCCGCGUUGGAUUAGCUAGUUGGUAGGGUAAAAGCCUACCAAGGCGACGAUCCAUAGCUGGUCUGAGAGGAUGAUCAGCCACACUGGGACUGAGACACGGCCCAGACUCCUACGGGAGGCAGCAGUGGGGAAUAUUGGACAAUGGGCGAAAUCCUGAUCCAGCAAUGCCGCGUGAGUGAUGAAGGCCUUAGGGUUGUAAAGCUCUUUUACCCGGGAUGAUAAUGACAGUACCGGGAGAAUAAGCUCCGGCUAACUCCGUG
This 433-nucleotide ribosomal RNA is filed under the name uncultured bacterium. RNAcentral's name for it is "partial 16S ribosomal RNA". It matches the Rfam family "Bacterial small subunit ribosomal RNA", at positions 29 to 507 of the family's 1533-position model. The record is from RNAcentral.